Molecule: long non-coding RNA, 2063 nt
Filed under: Pongo abelii (Sumatran orangutan)
Lineage: Eukaryota; Metazoa; Chordata; Mammalia; Primates; Hominidae
Description: lincRNA
Source: RNAcentral
AAAAGUUGCAGCACAGUGUGUCACCAGAGAGGAACAGAAAAUCCUUGCUGUGCCAAGAAGGAAAAGACCAUGGAUCUACUAGCUGCAGAUUUCAGCAGUAAUGCCAAGGGGGCAAGAAGUGACCAGCAGAACAAUUAGGCCAUGGCAACAGAAGCCAACUACAACCCAUGUUCCAAUCUAUGACCUCCCUCUCCUGCUGGUACAAGGACGUGAAUGUGGCUGUAGCAUCAUUUUUGGAAGCCAGAAUGGUAAUACUGAAAAAUCACUGCUUGUCUCAAGAUCCAACUUCUGGAAAUCUCAACCAUUCUGAAUACAGCCAUCAUUCUUAAAAUUGAAGAGAACUGUUUUACAAGAUCUUGACUUAUAAAGAAAGCAAGUUUAUUAAGGGCAAGAGCUGAUAAUCAACUGACUAAUGAGGAUUGACUUCUACAAUUGAUGAGCAUGGAAUUGGAUGUGCCUAAAUCAACAGAAGAGGGUUUUUGAUGUCAUCACACUGUAGCCCCAGAAGACAGAACUCUCAAAGGUGUCAAUGGGCAGAAUUUGUAGAUGACAUACAGCAUCCAAUGGAUUACUCCUAUUCAGGAUAAUGGAAGAAAAAGGUUCUUACCCUUCAGCAGAUAGCAUGCUGAGCCCUGAACAAAUUUUAUGACUUCUGGUGCAAAGCAGACCCAGUCAGCUUGCCUCUAGCAACUGGUUAAUAGUACUCCAAGAAAACCACACUUAAAAUUCUUGGAAGUUCCUUUACCAUCACAUCAAGUUGCAUUUUGAAGCUAAAGCCCUUCGAAUCCAUUUAUACCUUGUGAUAUUCCCUUGCCAGAUUGUUGUUUCGUUUGAUAGACAUGAUUUUAGGAUUUUGUCAAGGAAGCCAUCUAUGACCCCAAUCAAUCAAAACCAUAAGGAUCAGGGCUGGAAGAACCUGUUCCUUAGAGCAAAGGAUGCAAUGUCAAGCAAGUUGUGAUACCUCAACUAUCUACAAUUUAACACCAAUGAAAGAACACUGUUUGGAGAAAUGAGAAAGAUUAUCAUCAGUGUCUUUCAGAAGUCAUCAAAGGAAGAAAAGGACAAAAGAGAGGAGAAAGCAGAAAGCUCUGGAGUCUGGGAAGUUCAAGAGCAUGGCACCAGCAUCUGGCAAGGGCUUUCAUGCUGCAUCAUCUCAUGGAGGAAAAUAAAAGGAUUUCAGGUGAAUCCAGAUUUGGAGCUUGAAUGACUCAAAUGCUUUGCCUACAUUGAUCCUACAUUCAGGCUGCUUACAUAUCUCUUGGCUUCUCUGAGAACCAGACUGUCACCACUCAAAGUGUCUUCCAGAGUCCUCAUGAGUAUCAGAGAAGGCAUAAUCCGUACACGUGGCUUCAUUUAAAAUGAAAAUAUCAAGCAGUGUCAUUUUCACAAGUAUCCCCACACUGUCUGAGGCUGAGAAGAAGAGUGUAGCUACGCACACUGCAGUGAGAAGAAAAUUUCAGCUCAAUUGGACGAUGUAAAGAUUGAAAUAUCACUGCUCCUAGUUCUGAUGCAAAAUUGAAAAGAGUGCACUGGGUCUUCAAAUGGCAGAUAGACAAGGAGAAAGAGGAAAGCAUGCCCCAGGACAGCCUGGGGGUCAAGGCUGGGCUCAGGCAUGCCUGGACAAGCCAUGCAAGUUGUCUCUGGACUUGAACCAUGUAUCAGAGGAGCUAUUUGAGGAGCCACAUCAGCAUACCUGCUUCUAUGGGCCCCCAGGGUGUGGUGCUCAGCCCUCGCACCAUGAAACUUUUUUUUUCCAGAAGCCAAAGCUUUGAGCAUCUCCUCCCAUAUAGUGUAUAUGUUUACGUCCAUGUCUUUCGCCAUGUGAACGCAUGCAACCACCACCUCAAAUAUCAUAAAUCCUCCCUCUCCCCCUUUCUGUCUGCCUGUUUAUCUACAAUCUGUCUAUUUAAAUUCUUUUUAAACAAGAAGGGAAUAUCUUUAUGCCUGUUUGUAGGGAUAUUCUACAUCCAUCUGUUAUUUACAUCAUUCGUUUUCCUGAGGUGUCUCCAACAAAUCCUGGCUGGAUGCACUGUAUGUGUUAUUAAUAAAACAGCUGUAAAAAU